Molecule: unclassified non-coding RNA, 293 nt
Filed under: uncultured fungus
Lineage: Eukaryota; Fungi
Description: sequence contains ITS1
Source: RNAcentral
GGACUACUAGGGUUUCUAAUCCUGUUUGAUCCCCACGCUUUCGUGCCUCAGCGUCAAAUAAGGUCCAGUAAGCUGCCUUCGCAAUCGGUGUUCUAUGACAUAUCCAUGCAUUUCACCGCUACAUGUCACAUUCCGCCUACCUCAACCUAUUUCAAGCCCAACAGUAUCAAAGGCAAUUCCAUCGUUAAGCGACGGGCUUUCACCUCUGACUUAUCGGGCCACCUGCGCACCCUUUAAACCCAGUGAUUCCGGAUAACGCUUGCACCCUCCGUAUUACCGCGGCUGCUGGCACU